CAAGCGCCGUGCAAAACACCUGAAAGUGUCUCGUGUGUAGUAAGCAAAUAUGCACGUUCAAUUUUAGUGUCUUCCCUUUCAGAAUGAGUUUUUGUAUGUGGAACGCAUUGCAGGAAGGCAGUCUACUCUUGACAGUAUCCAAGGAGUUGGAGAUAUUUGAACUAGUGGUUGCUGCCACAGUGAGGUCUCAUGGCAGUGAGCAGGUCUGGCCAUCCCCUGCCAAAAAAAAAAAAAAAGGAAGAAAAGGAAAAAGAACCAAAUCACCACCUGUGCCACUCCAAAGGAAGAAUCCCUGAUCUUUGGGAAUUCCACCCUCUGCAACAUGGAUGGCAAUACUAGUCUGCAGUGGAGCCUCCUCACUCCUAAGAUCAACUGUGAGUAAGUUACCAGAGUUUCCCAG
RNAcentral lists this long non-coding RNA (400 nucleotides) under Marmota marmota marmota (Alpine marmot). RNAcentral's name for it is "lncRNA (ENSMMMG00000023614.1)". The record is from RNAcentral. Lineage: Eukaryota; Metazoa; Chordata; Mammalia; Rodentia; Sciuridae.